CUUUCAUCAGGUUCUAAAAUGUGAGUAUGCUGUCCGUGGAGAGAUUGUUACCCAUGCCCAGUUAUGGUGUUAUAUCUGUACCAGAAGUGACGGAUUGACAGCCUCUAACUAGCAAUGAUAGAUACCUGGUGGCUGCAAUUGAUGGGGUCUCCGAGAAAAUGACUAUGUAGGAUAUCUGUGAUCUAAUAUGGGAUAUACGCAUUCAAGACAGUGAAAAAUCAGAAUCUGUUUCUACCAACACAAAAUUGUUGGCUGUGUGGAAGGCUAUGUGGCAGUUCAUGUGCAUUUGUAGUUUGUUUUGAAAACUUUAAAUAGACAAUUAAUUGUUUUGUUGGUAUUGUGCUGAUUGUUUUCUCUUGAUGAAUGUUAAAUGGGUGAAACAUGCACAGGUUCAAUCAUUGGUUGAUUAUGAUAUUGUUAGCUUUGGUUGAUAGAAACCAAGGCUAAAGAUGGAUUUA
Molecule: long non-coding RNA, 458 nt
Organism: Magnolia sinica
Lineage: Eukaryota; Viridiplantae; Streptophyta; Magnoliopsida; Magnoliales; Magnoliaceae
Exons: 2
Source: RefSeq, a predicted model, not a curated record